CACGUAGGCACCAAGCGUUGUCCGGAUUUAUUGGGCGUAAAGAGCUCGUAGGCGGUUCGGUAAGUCGGGUGUGAAAACUUUGGGCUCAACCCAAAGCGUGCACUCGAUACUGCCGUGACUUGAGUUCGGUAGGGGAGUGGGGAAUUCCUAGUGUAGCGGUGAAAUGCGCAGAUAUUAGGAGGAACACCGGUGGCGAAGGCGCCACUCUGGGCCGAAACUGACGCUGAGGAGCGAAAGCGUGGGUAGCAAACAGGAUUAGAAACCCCGGUAGUCC
This 274-nucleotide ribosomal RNA is filed under the name uncultured bacterium. Its description in RNAcentral is "partial 16S ribosomal RNA". It matches the Rfam family "Bacterial small subunit ribosomal RNA", at positions 524 to 796 of the family's 1533-position model. The record is from RNAcentral.